Molecule: ribosomal RNA, 756 nt
Filed under: uncultured bacterium
Lineage: Bacteria
Description: bacterial SSU rRNA
Rfam family: Bacterial small subunit ribosomal RNA
Source: RNAcentral
AGAGUUUGAUCCUGGCUCAGAAUCAACGCUGGCGGCGUGCCUAACACAUGCAAGUCGGACGAGAAAGUGGAGCAAUCCAUGAGUAAAGUGGCGCACGGGUGAGUAACACGUGACUAACCUACCCUGGAGUGGGGGAUAACUGAGGGAAACCUUAGCUAAUACCGCAUAAUACCCACGGGUCAAAGGAGCAAUUCGCUUCAGGAGGGGGUCGCGGCCGAUUAGUUAGUUGGCGGGGUAAUGGCCCACCAAGACGAUGAUCGGUAUCCGGCCUGAGAGGGCGCACGGACACACUGGAACUGAAACACGGUCCAGACUCCUACGGGAGGCAGCAGUGGGGAAUUUUGCGCAAUGGGGGAAACCCUGACGCAGCAACGCCGCGUGGAGGAUGAAGUCCUUCGGGACGUAAACUCCUUUCGAUCGGGACGAUUAUGACGGUACCGGAAGAAGAAGCCCCGGCUAACUUCGUGCCAGCAGCCGCGGUAAUACGAGGGGGGCGAGCGUUGUUCGGAAUUAUUGGGCGUAAAGGGUGCGUAGGCGGUUUGGUAAGUCUUAUGUGAAAUCUACAGGCUCAACUUGUAGUCUGCAUGAGAAACUGCCGGGCUUGAGUAUGGGAGAGGUGAGUGGAAUUCCUGGUGUAGCGGUGAAAUGCGUAGAUAUCAGGAGGAACACCUGUGGCGAAAGCGGCUCACUGGACCAUAACUGACGCUGAUGCACGAAAGCUAGGGGAGCAAACAGGAUUAGAUACCCUCGUAGUCC